AUGUGCCAUGGUGUCCAACGAUUGUUUCAGAUCCAAACCUUUUGCUUUUCCCUAUUAUAUAUUUUAUGCUUUCUUUUGAAGGUGAUCUUAUGAUAUGUAAUGCUGUGGGCGACAUACAUGCUACAAUACUCAAGACAAAUGGUUGCGAUCCUCCAUGUGUGAGGUAACCCCAAAAACCCAUCCUCAGUUUGGAUUGCAGGUUGCAACUUAUUUGCAUAAAGUUGGAAU
This 228-nucleotide ribosomal RNA is filed under the name Olea europaea subsp. europaea. RNAcentral's name for it is "SSU_rRNA_bacteria". Lineage: Eukaryota; Viridiplantae; Streptophyta; Magnoliopsida; Lamiales; Oleaceae. The record is from RNAcentral.